RNAcentral lists this ribosomal RNA (1129 nucleotides) under Salmonella enterica subsp. enterica serovar Bredeney. RNAcentral describes it as "partial 23S ribosomal RNA". It matches the Rfam family "Bacterial large subunit ribosomal RNA", at positions 582 to 1711 of the family's 2925-position model. The record is from RNAcentral. Lineage: Bacteria; Pseudomonadati; Pseudomonadota; Gammaproteobacteria; Enterobacterales; Enterobacteriaceae.
CCCUUUGGGGUGUGACUGCGUACCUUUUGUAUAAUGGGUCAGCGACUUAUAUUCUGUAGCAAGGUUAACCGAAUAGGGGAGCCGGAGGGAAACCGAGUCUUAAUUGGGCGUUAAGUUGCAGGGUAUAGACCCGAAACCCGGUGAUCUAGCCAUGGGCAGGUUGAAGGUUGGGUAACACUAACUGGAGGACCGAACCGACUAAUGUUGAAAAAUUAGCGGAUGACCUGUGGCUGGGGGUGAAAGGCCAAUCAAACCGGGAGAUAGCUGGUUCUCCCCGAAAGCUAUUUAGGUAGCGCCUCGUGAAUUCAUCUCCGGGGGUAGAGCACUGUUUCGGCUAGGGGGCCAUCCCGGCUUACCAACCCGAUGCAAACUGCGAAUACCGGAGAAUGUUAUCACGGGAGACACACGGCGGGUGCUAACGUCCGUCGUGAAGAGGGAAACAACCCAGACCGCCAGCUAAGGUCCCAAAGUCAUGGUUAAGUGGGAAACGAUGUGGGAAGGCCCAGACAGCCAGGAUGUUGGCUUAGAAGCAGCCAUCAUUUAAAGAAAGCGUAAUAGCUCACUGGUCGAGUCGGCCUGCGCGGAAGAUGUAACGGGGCUAAACCAUGCACCGAAGCUGCGGCAGCGACGCUGAUGCGUUGUUGGGUAGGGGAGCGUUCUGUAAGCCUGCGAAGGUGGCCUGUGAGGGUUGCUGGAGGUAUCAGAAGUGCGAAUGCUGACAUAAGUAACGAUAAAGCGGGUGAAAAGCCCGCUCGCCGGAAGACCAAGGGUUCCUGUCCAACGUUAAUCGGGGCAGGGUGAGUCGACCCCUAAGGCGAGGCCGAAAGGCGUAGUCGAUGGGAAACGGGUUAAUAUUCCCGUACUUGGUGUUACUGCGAAGGGGGGACGGAGAAGGCUAUGUUGGCCGGGCGACGGUUGUCCCGGUUUAAGCGUGUAGGUGUGUGUUCCAGGUAAAUCCGGUUCACUUUAACACUGAGGCGUGAUGACGAGGCACUACGGUGCUGAAGCAACAAAUGCCCUGCUUCCAGGAAAAGCCUCUAAGCAUCAGGUAACAUCAAAUCGUACCCCAAACCGACACAGGUGGUCAGGUAGAGAAUACCAAGGCGCUUGAGAGAACUCGGGUGAAGGA